ACUGCAAGAUUCUAAUGGGUUUUCCUCUGCACAUUGACAGUAAAAUUCUCCAAAGAGGACGCCUCUCUUACUACUGAGCCCUAGCAUACUGGAUUUGCAACGCUAACAAGUGAGUGUGAAUUGAAGACGGCCAUGCAUUUUUAAUCAAAAUUAAAUAAAAAUUACUAAGGUCAGCACAUCACCAGUAUCAUAUAAAAAUAAAAAGGGCCAGUUAUCAGAAUACACGAAUUAAUUAAUCAUGGCUCUCUGCUCUUCUUCACAUCCUCCUAUGUUUGAGCCUAGUGGCUGAUAAUUUCCUCUCCCCUCGAUGCGAUCGUGUUUAGAGUGAGCUUCACCCGAUGACGGCGAGGACCGCGGUGUCCCAGUGAUGGAUUCAUUCCCGCCGUUCCUUUUAUUAGGAGCCUUCCCUCAACGGUCACAGCCUCACCAGAGAACAUGGAACGGGGAGACCAAGAGCUGUAAUUUCAUGAGGCAGCGAUGCACUUUAUGUCAUUCUUCAGAGGUUUCCACAUUUCAGCACUCGGAACAACAUCCAAUAUCUGUGUUAUGCUCUCUAAUAGGAAUUACUGUUGGCUAAUAAAAUUCGCUGCAUUGAAGUAUUUCCGCGUAUGGGAAAGUUAACGUGUGAAGGAGUAGUCUUAAUUAAGCAAAUGUUAAACAACCUAAAUUUAACUUGAAUGAAAAUAGUAUAGUUCUGCUCAUAAA
This is a long non-coding RNA of Prosopis cineraria, 705 nucleotides long. RefSeq lists it as uncharacterized. NCBI's taxonomy places the organism in Eukaryota, Viridiplantae, Streptophyta, Magnoliopsida, Fabales, Fabaceae. The transcript is spliced from 2 exons. The record is from RefSeq and is a predicted model, not a curated record.